This 66-nucleotide transfer RNA is filed under the name Lamellodiscus spari. RNAcentral describes it as "tRNA-Trp". Lineage: Eukaryota; Metazoa; Platyhelminthes; Monogenea; Dactylogyridea; Diplectanidae. The record is from RNAcentral.
AGUUUUUUAAGUUAAUUAUAGACUGUUUAUUUUCAAAAUAAAAAGUGACAAAAUUGUCUAAAACUG